AUUUUUUACCUGGACGAUCAGAUCUGGGAAGGAAAAGAAUGAAUCUAGAAAAUUGGAAAUUUAAGUUUAUUUCUGUUUUUGUAUUAAUUGGGAUUUCACAUUCAAAACGGUACAAGUACUGCGGGGAGGGAUGCUGUCCUCACGAAUUCUGUGCUUAUCAUAAAAUAUGUUAUCCCAUCAUCCAUUGCGAUCCUACGUGUCCGGACGGCAGCUGUCAAAAUGGACUAUGUUUUCCCGCCAAACCGUGCACGAGGAAUUUUGAAUGUGGUUUUGCAGAAACGUGUACAUUCAACUACAACCUCGGUUACACAACUUGCCAGUAUAACCUUAACAUUGGAGAAACUCUUUGCUCUGAUCGAAAUGGAAAUGCUGCAUUUAACCCUAAACCAGAUGAAAGCCCAUUUGUCCACAAAAGUUUUAACAAUCAGGAUAGUUUUUGAGACUUACCCUCACCAGCUAAAGUUUUCAAUAAUUUCAGUAUAUAAUCACAAUGCCUUUGAACUUUUCUCGUUGAAUCGUAAUAUACUGAGUUUAGAAAUAUUUCUUUUCAGGAAGAAUAUUUUUUUUUUUAAAAACUUUAAAUUUUUACCUCCAUUUUAAUUCACAUUUCAGAGCACGUUUUAAGCAAUCAGUGAGUCCAUAGAAUGGAUCAAAAACAAAUCAAACAAGAAAUCUGUCACAUAUAUAUCCUUUGUGUCAAAAAGCAUAUUCAUUCAUUCCAAACAAAGCCAGUUUCAGAUAGAGCUUUUCUAUUUUUAUGCCCCGUAAUCGAAGAUUCGGGGGUAUAUAGUUUUUGCCCUGUCCGUCCGUCUGUCUGUCUGUACUUUUGAAAAACUUUAACCUUUUCCAUAUCUAUUCAAUGGUUGCUGCUAGGGCUCUCAUAUUUCACAGGUAUAUUCCUCGAGACAAGAUCUUACUUUGGGUAUGAACAUAUUUGACUUGCAUUUGAGAAAGUUUAACCUUCACUAUAAGUUGCCAUACGGGGGCAUCAGUGUUUCACAAACACACCUUGUUUUCAUGGUAAGCGAAUAAUUUGCAAUCAUUUCCUUAAAUUCACUGCAGGUUUGAUUUUUUCCCCCAAAGCACACUCAAAUAUACCUUAAAGAAAAUAUUCCAUUGAAUCUAAGAAUACUCUGUUAAACUCAGUGUCAUUUACUGAUCUAAUUUAGAUCAUUUUCAGGUAAUCUUUGAAAAAAAAAUAUAUAGGCUGUUCAUUACUAUAUAGGUUUGUUUGACUGUACUUCUAGUAACAUUAAAAAAUCUGAAGCUUUUAGUUUAGUAUUUAUUAUCAUUUAGAAACAUUAUUACUAUAUCAUAGUACUCAUGUUUUGAUAUACCAAGUACCAUAAUCAACACUUAAUAAUAAAUGUACAAUCAUGUAGAACUGUAAUUGAUAAUUUUUUGAAAGAAUACAACCAAUAUGAAUGUAUGAUCUUACACAAAAAAAUUAAGAUUGACAUUUAAUU
Saccostrea echinata is the source of this 1466-nucleotide long non-coding RNA. RefSeq lists it as uncharacterized. The record is from RefSeq and is a predicted model, not a curated record. The transcript is spliced from 3 exons. Lineage: Eukaryota; Metazoa; Mollusca; Bivalvia; Ostreida; Ostreidae.